AGAGUUUGAUCCUGGCUCAGAACGAACGCUGGCGGCGUGGAUUAGGCAUGCAAGUCGUGCGAGAAAGGGGUGGCAACACCCCGAGUACAGCGGCGAACUGGUGAGUAACAGGUGGGUAAUGUGCCCUGAAGUGGGGGAUAACACCGGGAAACCGGUGCUAAUACCACAUGUGACUUUCGGAAUCAUGGUUCUGGAAGUUAAAGCAGUAGUGCGCUUCAGGAUCGGCCCGCCCCCGAUUAGCUAGUUGGUGAGGUCAAAGCUCACCAAGGCGACGAUCGGUAGCUGGUCUGAGAGGAUGGUCAGCCACACUGGAACUGAGAUACGGUCCAGACUCCUACGGGGGGCAGCAGUCUAGAGGCUUCGGCAAUGGGGGCAACCCUGACCGAGCGACGCCGCGUGUGGGAUUGAAGGCCUUCGGGUCGUAAACCACUGUCAUUGGGGAAGAAUGCCUGGAUGGCGAAUCCAGGAGGGACGGUACCCAAGGAGGAAGCCCCGGCUAACUCCGUGCCAGCAGCCGCGGUAAUACGGAGGGGGCAAGCGUUGUUCGGAUUUACUGGGCGUAAAGGGUGUGUAGGCGGCUGGGCAAGUCUGGUGUGAAAUCUUCACCGCUUAACGGGAAGAGGUCACUGGAAACUGCCUAGCUCGAGUAUGGUAGAGGCAAGCGGAAUUCCUGGUGUAGCGGUGGAAUGUGUAGAUAUCAGGAAGAACACCGGUGGCGAAGGCGGCUUGCUGGGCCAUCACUGACGCUGAGACACGAAAGCGUGGGGAGCAAACGUGGAUUAGAUACCCCGGUAGUCCACGCUGUAAACGGUGCGCACUAGGUGUUGAGGGGGUAUCGACCCCCCCUUGUGCCCGAAAGCAAAACGCAUUUAAGUGCGGCCGCCUGGGGGAGUACGGCCGCAAGGGUGUGAAACUUCAAAGGGAAUUGAC
Molecule: ribosomal RNA, 930 nt
Filed under: uncultured bacterium
Lineage: Bacteria
Description: bacterial SSU rRNA
Rfam family: Bacterial small subunit ribosomal RNA
Source: RNAcentral